UACGAAGGGUGCAAGCGUUACUCGGAAUUACUGGGCGUAAAGCGUGCGUAGGUGGUUUGUUAAGUCUGUUGUGAAAGCCCCGGGCUCAACCUGGGAAUGGCAAUGGAUACUGGCAAGCUAGAGUGCGGUAGAGGGUAGUGGAAUUCCCGGUGUAGCGGUGAAAUGCGUAGAGAUGUGGAGGAACACCGAUGGCGAAGGCAGCCUUCUGGGCCAAUACUGACGCUCAUGCACGAAAGCGUGGGGAGCAAACAGG
RNAcentral lists this ribosomal RNA (253 nucleotides) under uncultured bacterium. RNAcentral's name for it is "partial 16S ribosomal RNA". It matches the Rfam family "Bacterial small subunit ribosomal RNA", at positions 524 to 776 of the family's 1533-position model. The record is from RNAcentral.